Molecule: long non-coding RNA, 653 nt
Filed under: Capra hircus (goat)
Lineage: Eukaryota; Metazoa; Chordata; Mammalia; Artiodactyla; Bovidae
Description: lncRNA (ENSCHIG00010031817.1)
Source: RNAcentral
AUGACAGAGGGCAUCUUCAUAGCAACUCUGCACAUAACUAGAGCCCACCCCCCACACACCUUGGGAAAGAAAAGACCACAGGUGUCAACAUGUGUUGGAAAAGUUAUUAGAAUUCUGCCUUCAAUCCAUCACAAACCUACAGAUACACAUAUUAAAAUCUGGAAUGAGAUCCAUCGAAAUGUCAACAGUGGUACACCUGAAUUGCACAAUCCAAGUCCAGCCACUGUACAGCGCAAUGAAUGGGAGAAUGAAGGAAGAGAGGAGUCGAAAAUGAACACAGUGUGUCUGACGUGGGCAACUGUUAAGUAGUGGUGCUAUUUACAGAAAGAGGGCACAGAGGGAAGAAGAGAACAAGAAAGGUUCUCCAACCCCAGCUUUCAACUAAACUGUGAUAAGGAAAAUAACUCAACUUUGGAUGUUAUGCCACUGGAAUUCAAUUCAGAUUAACAAAGCUUGUCUCAACCUAUUCAGAGAUUUCAAGCUGGAAAUAAUGAAAUUGAAAACAUGCAUGACACGCCACGGAAGUGUUUUACCCCACCCCCCUCUCUCGCUUUUAAUCUGGAGAAAGGAAAAUGAAAGCUAACUCAUCAAGAUAACCUAAUCCCUCCUUGAAGAUACUACAGGAUGAUCUGUUCUGAAUUCUUCAUCUUUGG